CAGCAGCCACGGGAAUACGGAGGGUGCAAGCGUUAAUCGGAAUUACUGGGCGUAAAGCGCACGCAGGCGGUCUGACAAGUCAGAUGUGAAAUCCCCGGGCUUAACCUGGGAACUGCAUUCGAAACUGUCAGGCUGGAGUCUUGUAGAGGGGGGUAGAAUUCCAGGUGUAGCGGUGAAAUGCGUAGAGAUCUGGAGGAAUACCGGUGGCGAAGGCGGCCCCCUGGACAAAGACUGACGCUCAGGUGCGAAAGCGUGGGGAGCAAACAGGAUUAGAUACCCCGGUAGUCCCUGUCUCUUAUAC
Molecule: ribosomal RNA, 301 nt
Filed under: uncultured bacterium
Lineage: Bacteria
Description: partial 16S ribosomal RNA
Rfam family: Bacterial small subunit ribosomal RNA
Source: RNAcentral